GAUGAACACUAGCGGGAGGCCUAACACAUGCAAGCCGAGCGGUAUUUGUUCUUCGGAACAGAGAGAGCGGCGCACGGGUGCGGAACACGUGUGCAACCUGCCUUUAUCUGGGGGAUAGCCUUUCGAAAGGAAGAUUAAUACCCCAUAAUAUAUUGAGUGGCAUCAUUUGAUAUUGAAAACUCCGGUGGAUAGAGAUGGGCACGCGCAAGAUUAGAUAGUUGGUGAGGUAACGGCUCACCAAGUCAAUGAUCUUUAGGGGGCCUGAGAGGGUGAUCCCCCACACUGGUACUGAGACACGGACCAGACUCCUACGGGAGGCAGCAGUGAGGAAUAUUGGACAAUGGGUUAGCGCCUGAUCCAGCCAUCCCGCGUGAAGGACGACGGCCCUAUGGGUUGUAAACUUCUUUUGUAUAGGGAUAAACCUACUCUCGUGAGAGUAGCUGAAGGUACUAUACGAAUAAGCACCGGCUAACUCCGUG
This 479-nucleotide ribosomal RNA is filed under the name uncultured bacterium. RNAcentral describes it as "partial 16S ribosomal RNA". It matches the Rfam family "Bacterial small subunit ribosomal RNA", at positions 28 to 507 of the family's 1533-position model. The record is from RNAcentral.